This 439-nucleotide ribosomal RNA is filed under the name uncultured bacterium. Its description in RNAcentral is "bacterial SSU rRNA". It matches the Rfam family "Bacterial small subunit ribosomal RNA", at positions 8 to 443 of the family's 1533-position model. The record is from RNAcentral.
AGAGUUUGAUCCUGGCUCAGAUUGAACGCUGGCGGCAUGCCUAACACAUGCAAGUCGAACGGCAGCACAGUCGUAGCAAUACGAUGGGUGGCGAGUGGCGGACGGGUGAGGAAUACAUCGGGACCUGCCCAGACGUGGGGGAUAACGUAGGGAAACUUACGCUAAUACCGCAUACGUCCUACGGGAGAAAGCGGGGGAUCUUCGGACCUCGCGCGGUUGGAUGGACCGAUGUUCAAUUAGCUAGUUGGUGGGGUAAUGGCCUACCAAGGCGACGAUCGAUAGCUGGUCUGAGAGGAUGAUCAGCCACACUGGGACUGAGACACGGCCCAGACUCCUACGGGAGGCAGCAGUGGGGAAUAUUGGACAAUGGGCGCAAGCCUGAUCCAGCAAUGCCGCGUGUGUGAAGAAGGCCUUCGGGUUGUAAAGCACUUUUAUCAGG